UCAGAAACACCAAAACCUUUCUGCCUGACGGUAUCCAUCUGUCCUCAGAAUUGAGCUUGGACCACUCCAUGUUCUCAGAAACCAAAGAUUUGCACAUGUGGAAUCCAGAGGAAGGUCAGGCUACACAACCUUGGCAAAGAAAGAGAGUGGUAAGACGUAAUUUUCUACCCUGUUUUGUUGCUUGAAAGGACUAAAUAAAUUCUUAAGAAUUAAAAGUCAUCAAAAAAGCUGGUGAGGAUGUGGAGCAAUAGAAACUCUCAUUCAUUGAGAUGCAAAAUGGUGUAGCCACUCUGGACAACAGUUUGGCAGUUUCUUAUAAAACUAAACAUAUUCUUACCAUAAGAUCCAG
This 349-nucleotide long non-coding RNA is filed under the name Aotus nancymaae (Ma's night monkey). RNAcentral's name for it is "lncRNA (ENSANAG00000039250.1)". The record is from RNAcentral. Lineage: Eukaryota; Metazoa; Chordata; Mammalia; Primates; Aotidae.